RNAcentral lists this transfer RNA (75 nucleotides) under Pelates quadrilineatus (fourlined terapon). Its description in RNAcentral is "tRNA-Trp". It matches the Rfam family "tRNA". Rfam says of the family: Transfer RNA (tRNA) molecules are approximately 80 nucleotides in length. Their secondary structure includes four short double-helical elements and three loops (D, anti-codon, and T loops). Further hydrogen bonds mediate the characteristic L-shaped molecular structure. tRNAs have two regions of fundamental functional importance: the anti-codon, which is responsible for specific mRNA codon recognition, and the 3' end, to which the tRNAs corresponding amino acid is attached (by aminoacyl-tRNA synthetases). tRNAs cope with the degeneracy of the genetic code in two manners: having more than one tRNA (with a specific anti-codon) for a particular amino acid; and 'wobble' base-pairing, i.e. permitting non-standard base-pairing at the 3rd anti-codon position. Lineage: Eukaryota; Metazoa; Chordata; Actinopteri; Centrarchiformes; Terapontidae. The record is from RNAcentral.
AGAAACUUAGGAUACAAUACGUGAGACCAAGGCCCUUCAAAGGCCUAAGUGGGAGUGCGAAUCUCCCAGUUUCUG